Long non-coding RNA from Lethenteron reissneri (Far Eastern brook lamprey), 478 nucleotides. RefSeq lists it as uncharacterized. The record is from RefSeq and is a predicted model, not a curated record. NCBI's taxonomy places the organism in Eukaryota, Metazoa, Chordata, Hyperoartia, Petromyzontiformes, Petromyzontidae.
GAGAGGCCUUCCUGUUACAGCCCCCUAGACCCCCACUCCCCCCUCAACGUUUCCUCGCUCCACACCUCUGACCCUGUGCAAGCACCCCAUGCUUCCUGUAUUUUAUACCUGGUGGUUUCAAAUACGUGUACAGAGACACGCGAAUGUGCUCGGGCACAUGCCCAAACAAAAAACGCACAGACUCUUGGAGCGAGUGCUGUAGGCGAACGCCUAUGAAGGCUGGAAAACAGGACCGGUUCUCACAGUCUCCACUGUCAUUCGUCGUGAGCGGGAAUCGAAGUCUGCGUGCCGGGUGACAUCGAUCGAGCAAGGUCGAGUAACAGCUGCGGGAACGGUCCCCCAGACGCUGUUCUAUCGGACCUGGUCUUCACGCACCGCCGAUCCCAGGCUUAAACUAAGUUUUUCGGAUCAAGCAAAAACGGACUUCUGAAGACUCCUGCGGCGCACACAGUCCUGCAAAUUAAGCACUUCAAACGGU